RNAcentral lists this non-coding RNA (105 nucleotides) under Paracoccus solventivorans. Its description in RNAcentral is "TPP sequence". It matches the Rfam family "TPP riboswitch aptamer (THI element)". From Rfam's summary of the family: Vitamin B(1) in its active form thiamin pyrophosphate (TPP) is an essential coenzyme that is synthesised by coupling of pyrimidine and thiazole moieties in bacteria. The previously detected thiamin-regulatory element, thi box was extended, resulting in a new, highly conserved RNA secondary structure, the THI element, which is widely distributed in eubacteria and also occurs in some archaea. Lineage: Bacteria; Pseudomonadati; Pseudomonadota; Alphaproteobacteria; Rhodobacterales; Paracoccaceae. The record is from RNAcentral. RNAcentral also lists the same sequence under 1 other name.
CAACGCUCGUUGGGGCGCCCCGCGCGGGGCUGAGAUGUGCCAGGCACAGCACCCAUCGAACCUGAUCCGGGUCAUGCCGGCGAAGGGAACGGGCUGCGCGCAUCC